GCUUGCUUAACUCAGUUGGUUAGAUUUUGGUGUUGAUAACGCCAAAGUCACAGGUUUGACCCCUUUAGUGAGCA
Molecule: non-coding RNA, 74 nt
Organism: Massospora cicadina
Lineage: Eukaryota; Fungi; Entomophthoromycota; Entomophthoromycetes; Entomophthorales; Entomophthoraceae
Source: the annotation of a GenBank genome assembly